UAAUGUUUUAUUCCUUUGAUGAGCAAAACAGAGCUGAGCCAAACCAUUUUUUAAUCAAGCAUGUUCAAGAGACAACCUGCCCACAUGGUGAUAACAUCAAAAAAACCAAGGACUUAUCAAAGGAGAAGUUUUCCAGGAUCACUCAUACAGAAGUGUUCUCUGGACUCUACCAAACUCUCACAGACUUCUUCCUUAAAAAAAUUGAGUGGAAAAAAAAAAAAUUGAGUGGACCUGUAAAGCCUUCUGUCCUAGAGUUGAAAGAGCAGCUAAAUUCACAGUAAGCUAAUUGUAUAUGAAGAAAAAUGAUUACUUUUAUUAUAUGUGUAUCCAAAUCAUUUGUCUAGUAAGGACUCCUUAAAAAACAAAGCCCUCAAAAUUUAGGUCUCCAUCUGUUCCUUUUGGUAAAAAUUAAGAAACACAUGCAGCCUUUGUAGUGGUUACCCAUGACAGAAAACAUAGAAGCAUGCCUUAUAGCUCCUCUAAGGGGAUUUUUAAAUCCUUAUGGACAUUCCUUAAGCAGAAUUACUCAUGCUAAUUUUGUGAUGCUCUAUUGGUUUUACUUGUUUGUUAAUACAAUAACAUUCAAAGCCUAUUGUCUUAAAUCUGGACUUACCAAGAGAGAUUUCUAGCUCCAUGUGGGACAGAUUACUCCCAUAUUCCCAUUACAAGCAAUUCAAUAAGUAAGGCAAUGAAGCAUCUAUCUACGCACUAGCUGCUACUCUAAGAAACUUGAUCUUCCUGUAUUAAAACUGUUAUGUCUUGAUAUUUGAAAACCCAGAAUUCAGAAGUAAACUGGAUUGUUUACUACUAGCCCUGGUAUAUUAAACUUUGAGGAAAUUUCACAUUUUCUUUAAUGUGGUGUGGUCUGUUUAUUGUUUGUUGGCUUUUGUGUCAAAAAUUUUUCCUGUAGAAUCUUCAUAAACAAAUCUUCCUUAACACGUAUGCCACACACUUACAUGCUACAUGCCUACAAUUCUUUAGAUUUAACACCUGAAGUUCAGUAUCUCAAAUAGAAGAGUGAAAGGCAUAUCCCCAGGGUUAUAAAAAUUUAGCAGAGACUGGCCCAUGCCAUCAUGAAAUUUCUUUGAGGUUUCAUGUUUUAAAAUCUUAUAUUUUAAUUUUUUUUAAAUUACCACCAGUUU
Molecule: long non-coding RNA, 1142 nt
Filed under: Canis lupus familiaris (dog)
Lineage: Eukaryota; Metazoa; Chordata; Mammalia; Carnivora; Canidae
Description: lncRNA (ENSCAFG00040000494.1)
Source: RNAcentral